Herpailurus yagouaroundi (jaguarundi) is the source of this 5134-nucleotide RNA transcript. It is a transcript of the gene named transmembrane O-mannosyltransferase targeting cadherins 3, with no coding region annotated. The record is from RefSeq and is a predicted model, not a curated record. The transcript is spliced from 15 exons. Lineage: Eukaryota; Metazoa; Chordata; Mammalia; Carnivora; Felidae.
GGGAGGCUGCGACGGUGCUGGGGUGGUGGGGGAACGACCCGGAGGCGGGAGGCGCAGUGGCUGAGGCGCGUGUGCGCCGGUGACCAGAAUUAGAUAGACCAUGACUGUGCCUUCAGUGGCGUCACUCGCUGGGCCGCUUUUCCUGAGAUUUCCCUAAGCCAUCCCCUGGUGGAACUGCUCCCAGAUUUUAUCCACAAGUGCUUGUGGAAAAGAUGGCUGAUAUUAACCUCAAAGAAGUAACCUUAAUAGUAGGUGUGGUUACUGCCUGCUAUUGGAACAGCCUCUUUUGUGGUUUUGUUUUUGAUGAUGUUUCAGCAAUACUGGAUAAUAAAGACCUGCAUCCAUCUACACCUUUAAAAACUUUAUUUCAGAAUGACUUCUGGGGAACCCCUAUGUCUGAGGAGAGAAGCCACAAGUCUUACCGUCCCUUAACAGUAUUGACAUUUCGCUUAAAUUAUCUGUUUAGUGAGCUGAAACCAAUGUCAUAUCAUCUCCUAAAUAUGAUUUUUCAUGCUGUGGUUAGUGUGAUAUUUCUUAAAGUCUGCAAACUUUUUCUGGACAACAGGAGUAGUGUCAUUGCUUCUUUACUUUUUGCAGUGCAUCCAAUACACACAGAAGCAGUAACCGGUGUUGUAGGAAGAGCAGAACUUUUGUCAUCUAUCUUUUUUCUAGCUGCAUUUUUGUCAUAUACCAAAUCAAAAGGACCAGAUAAUUCCAUAGUAUGGACUCCAAUUGCUUUGACAGUGGUUUUAGUUGCUGUUGCAACAUUGUGUAAAGAACAAGGAAUAACAGUUGUGGGAAUUUGCUGUGUGUAUGAAGUAUUUAUUGCCCAGGGGUAUACUUUGCCAUUAUUAUGUACUACUGCCAGACAGUUUUUCCGUGGGAAGAGUAAUAUUCCAUUUUCUAUGCUGCAGACACUAAUAAAACUCAUUGUUUUGAUGUUCAGUACACUAUUACUUGUUGUGAUUAGAGUCCAGGUCAUUCAGUCCCAACUUCCAGUAUUCACCAGAUUUGAUAACCCAGCUGCUGUAAGCCCAACUCCUACAAGGCAGCUAACUUUUAACUACCUCCUUCCCUUGAAUGCUUGGCUUCUAUUAAAUCCUUCGGAACUGUGCUGUGAUUGGACCAUGGGAACAAUACCACUUAUAGAAUCAUUUCUAGAUAUUCGAAAUCUUGCCACAUUUAUUUUCUUUUGCUUUUUGGGGGCUUUGGGGGUAUUCAGUCUCAGAUACCCUGGUGAUUCCUCCAAGACUGUUUUAAUGGCACUUUGUCUAAUGGCAUUACCAUUUAUUCCUGCAUCAAACCUUUUCUUCCCAGUGGGAUUUGUUGUUGCUGAGCGAGUAUUAUAUGUUCCUAGCAUGGGGUUCUGUAUUUUGGUAGCCCAUGGAUGGCAGAAAAUAUCAAACAAAAGUGUAUUAAAAAAGUUAUCCUGGGUUUGUCUGUCUAUGGUGAUAUUCACUCAUGCCUUAAAAACACUCCACAGAAAUUGGGAUUGGGAGUCUGAAUAUACAUUGUUUAUGUCAGCCUUGAAGGUAAAUAAAAAUAAUGCCAAAUUAUGGAAUAAUGUGGGUCAUGCUCUGGAAAAUGAAAAGAACUUUGAGAGAGCUUUGAAAUACUUCUUACAGGCUACUCAUGUUCAGCCAGAUGAUAUUGGUGCUCACAUGAAUGUAGGAAGAACUUAUAAAAAUUUAAAUAGAACCAAAGAAGCUGAAGAAUCUUACAUGAUGGCUAAGUCCCUGAUGCCCCAAAUUAUUCCUGGUAAAAAAUAUGCAGCCAGAAUUGCCCCUAACCACCUAAAUGUUUAUAUUAAUCUGGCCAAUCUGAUCAGAGCAAAUGAGUCCCGGCUGGAAGAAGCAGAUCAGCUGUACCGGCAAGCAAUAAGCAUGAGACCCGACUUCAAGCAGGCUUAUAUUAGCAGAGGAGAAUUGCUUUUAAAAAUGAAUAAACCUCUUAAGGCAAAAGAAGCAUAUCUUAAAGCACUAGAGCUGGACAGAAAUAAUGCAGAUCUUUGGUACAACUUGGCGAUUGUUCAUAUUGAACUUAAAGAACCAAAUGAAGCCCUAAAAAAUUUUAAUCGUGCUUUAGAAUUAAAUCCAAAGCAUAAGCUAGCAUUAUUCAAUUCUGCUAUAUUAAUGCAAGAAUCAGGUGAGGUUAAACUUAGACCUGAAGCUAGAAAACGCCUUCUUAGCUACAUAAAUGAAGAGCCACAAGAUGCUAAUGGUUAUUUCAAUUUGGGAAUGCUUGCCAUGGAUGACAAAAAGGACAGUGAAGCAGAGAUGUGGAUGAAGAAAGCCAUAAAAUUGCAAGCCGAUUUUAGAAGUGCUUUGUUUAAUCUGGCUCUCCUGUAUUCUCAGACUGCAAAGGAAUUAAUGGCUUUGCCAAUUUUGGAAGAGUUACUCAGAUACUAUCCUGAUCAUAUCAAGGGUCUCAUUUUAAAGGGAGACAUUCUGAUGAAUCAAAAGAAAGAUAUACUUGGAGCAAAAAAAUGUUUUGAAAAAAUUUUGGAGAUGGAUCCAAACAAUGUGCAAGGAAAACACAAUCUUUGUGUUGUUUAUUUUGAAGAGAAGGACUUACUAAAAGCUGAAAGAUGCCUGGUUGAAACAUUGGCAUUAGCACCACAUGAAGAAUAUAUUCAACGCCAUUUGAAUAUAGUCAGGGAUAAAAUAUCCUCAUCUAGUUUUGCAGAACAGCCAGUAUCCCCAGCUGGUAAGACUUCAGGUGUAGAAGGAGACAAAAUUCCAACUGAAAGUGUAAAAGAAGUAAGAAGUGAACCCAGACCUACACAGAUCAUAAAACCAAGUGAAAAUAAAAGUCAGUCUAAGUCCAACAAACUAUUAGGAAAAAGUACAGACAAAGAGACACCCCAUAAAACAACAAAAGAAAUCAAAGAAAUUGAGAAAAAAAGAGUUGCUGCUUUAAAAAGACUAGAAGAGAUUGAACGUAUUUUAAAUGGUGAAUAGCAUUAUUUAUCAUGUGACAAUGUCUUCAAAGAACUUCAGUCUAUCUUAUGUGAUUGUUUAUACUGGGAGCUUUGAAAAAACAACAAGUGUACAUGUGACAGUCUAUCAUGAGCUGCCUCUACAUAGGAUCAAAAUACGAUUUUCAUUAAAUACCUGUGUUACUCCAGGUGUUCAAAUGAGAAGUACAAUAGUGUAUCAACAGAUUUCUGCCCCACAAAGACAGAAGAGCUGGUGGGUAGUUUUUAUUAGCAGUGAUAUGAGAAAGAUGUGUUAAAUUGCUUCAAGAACAGUGAUACAUUUUUCAACCCUUAGUGACAGAAACUAAAGAAAAUGAGACAAAUUCAAAUAUGGAAUUUUAUACACAUAAGUAGAAGUCAGUGUGGUGAAAUAAUUAGGAGUCUGAGUUAUGGAUCUGCCUGGAUUCAAAUCUUGGUACCACCCUUACUAAUAUAACUUAAAGGAAUGUUUAACCUAUAUGUCCUUGGUUUACAUUUAUAUAGGUUUAAUAUGUAUAUAUCCUAUUGUAUAAACUGGCAGGUAUUUUUGUAACUAUAAAUAAUGCAUGCUUAGCCAUGUACAUUGUAAAUAGUCUUUACCAAACACUUUUGAUAAGGACCAUAAUUAACAUCACGUAGUAAAUUGUGUUAAAGAAAAGCCAUGAUUUAUUUGAUGUAAUUGGCUUAAUUUUUUUUUCACGUAGUAUCAACAUGAAUCUGUUUACAGCUGUAACCAACCAGUAGUACUGAUCUGUCCAUCCAGUGUUGUCUUUAUUUUAUUUGAUUGUGGCUUGAUAAUAUUUUAUUAGAUUGGGAAAACUAAAGAAACAGAAUGGUUUUAGUUUUGCUAAAGACGGGCCUUAUUAAUGAACAGCUUUCCUAACAAGUGAUUAUUGACUUUUAGCGGGUGUUAACAUCUGUUUCAUAACAUGGCAGUAUGUUUAUAUGUCAGAAGUUUUAUGACAUUUCUAAGUUGAUUUGUUGAAAUAAAUUCAGCAAGUGGAAAAAUCUAUAUAUUUAUAUUAAAAAUAUUAAUAUAUUUAAAUUGUUUAGGAUAGUUCUUGGUAUAGUAAAUGAUAGAUGUUAAUCAUUAAUGUAAUCAUAAGGCUUAGGUAUGUAGUAAAUAAUAGAUGUUAAUCAUUAAUGUAAUCACAAGGCUUAGGCUUGCAUUUGAUACAUAUGAUUUGCUUUAUGUGUUAGCAGAGAUAAUGUUAAUGAUGGUCGUAUAGCAAACAGAUUAUUAGAUAUUUAAUGCUGGUUCCUUAGCCAGCUAAGGAACUUGUUCUUUUGCUGUUCACUGCUUUUAGGAAGGUAGCAUAAGAUAAAAUCUUUCCCAAAAGUCUCUGAAGACUUAAUCUCAGGCAAAUUCAUGUUCUUUGGAACCCACUUUAUUCAAAGUAACAUUUCUGUGACUCUGCCAAUGGAUAGCAUAAUUCCCAUCAAGUCGUGUUUUUAUUGUAUAGGAACCUGAUGCCUUCAGUUUUUACCUUAAGCAAAAUACUUCUCACCAAACCAUUCUAGUUUUCCCUUUCUUAAAGACUUUAGUGGUUAAACUCUAUUGUCCUUAUUCCUUCCUUCCCCCAUGGAUUUAGUUUCUGAUAUUAGGAAAGUCAUCUGAUUAAUCCAUGUUAAACUACAAAUGAUAGGUCUUGUUAGUCAUCUUAACAGUUAAAUCAAGUGAACUUCUUUCUUUAUAAAGUUGCAGGCAAUACAGUGGGAGUUAUUUGAGGGAUAUGGAGUUUCUCCACCAUUCUGCCUAUCUAAGCAAGGAAUUGCGAAAGACCACAGAAAAUCUUUGUAACUGCAAGAAGGCCACUUGUGACCAGAAUCCUGUUUUUGAUGGGCACUGGCAGGCCAGGUAACUGCCUUUUGGGAGUGGAAUCAGAGUAAUCAAACUGUCAGCAGAAUUGGACUUAAGCUCAGUAGUGACAUCUGUAAAACUAAUUCCUGAGUAGUGAAUAUACAGAUCUUACUUGAUUUACGAUGGGGUUACAUACCAAUAAACCCAUUGAAGUUGAAAAUAUUGUAAGUUGAAAAUGUUCUUAAUACAUCUAACUUCGUGAACAUCAUAGCUUAGCCUAUGUUAAAUGUUCUCAGAACAAUUACAUUAGCCACAAUUGGGCAAAAUCAUCAGACACAAAGCCUGUUUUAUAAUAAAGUGUUGAAUGUCUCAUGUAA